GUGAGGAAUAUUGCGCAAUGGGCGAAAGCCUGACGCAGCGACGCCGCGUGGAGGAUGAAGGUCUUCGGAUUGUAAACUUCUGUUAAGUGGGAAGAAAGGGCUGUUUUUAAUAGAAGCAGUUAAUGACGGUACCAUUAAAGAAAGCACCGGCUAAACUCGUGCCAGCAGCCGCGGUAAUACGAGUGGUGCAAGCGUUAAUCGGAAUAAUUGGGCGUACAGGGUGUGUAGGCGGUAUGUUAAGUCUGUUGUUAAAGACUCCGGCCUAACCGGAGACAGGCAGCGGAAACUGGCGUACUAGAGGGUGGAAGAGAGAAGUGGAAUUCUCGGUGUAGCGGUAAAAUGCGUAGAUAUCGAGAGGAACACCGAUGGCGAAGGCAGCUUCUUGGUCCAUACCUGACGCUGAAACACGAAAGCGUGGGGAGCAAACAGGAUUAGAAACCCGUGUAGUCC
Molecule: ribosomal RNA, 450 nt
Filed under: uncultured bacterium
Lineage: Bacteria
Description: partial 16S ribosomal RNA
Rfam family: Bacterial small subunit ribosomal RNA
Source: RNAcentral